CGGUAAUUCCAGCUCCAAUAGCGUAUAUUAAAGUUGUUGCAGUUAAAAGGCUCGUAGUUGGAUUUCUGGCAGGAGCGACCGGUCACGCACUUUGUGCGUGAACUUGCGUUGUCUCUGGCCAUCCUUGGGGAGAUCCUAUUUGGCAUUAAGUUGUCGGGUAGGGGAUACCCAUCGUUUACUGUGAAAAAAUUAGAGUGUUUAAAGCAGGCUUAUGCCGUUGAAUAUAUUAGCAUGGAAUAAUAAGAUAGGACUUCGGAACUAUUUUGUUGGUUUGCGUUACGAAGUAAUGAUUAAUAGGGACAGUUGGGGGUAUUCGUAUUCCGUUGUCAGAGGUGAAAUUCUUGGAUUUCCGGAAGACGAACUACUGCGAAAGCAUUUACCAAGGAUAUUUUCAUUAAUCAAGAACGAAAGUUAGGGGAUCGAAGAUGAUUAGAUACCAUCGUAGUCUUAACCAUAAACUAUGCCGACUCAGGAUCGGAGGUUGUUUUUUGACUCCUUCGGCACUGUAUGAGAAAUCAAAGUCUUUG
This 527-nucleotide ribosomal RNA is filed under the name uncultured eukaryote. Its description in RNAcentral is "SSU rRNA". It matches the Rfam family "Eukaryotic small subunit ribosomal RNA", at positions 577 to 1109 of the family's 1831-position model. The record is from RNAcentral.